RNAcentral lists this ribosomal RNA (443 nucleotides) under uncultured bacterium. Its description in RNAcentral is "partial 16S ribosomal RNA". It matches the Rfam family "Bacterial small subunit ribosomal RNA", at positions 338 to 795 of the family's 1533-position model. The record is from RNAcentral.
CCUACGGGAGGCAGCAGUGGGGAAUAUUGGGCAAUGGGCGCAAGCCUGACCCAGCAACGCCGCGUGAAGGAAGAAGGCCCUCGGGUUGUAAACUUCUUUUAACAGGGACGAAGAAAGUGACGGUACCUGUUGAAUAAGCCACGGCUAACUACGUGCCAGCAGCCGCGGUAAUACGUAGGGGGCAAGCGUUAUCCGGAUUUACUGGGUGUAAAGGGCGUGUAGGCGGGAGAGCAAGUCAGACGUGAAAUUCCAGGGCUCAACCCUGGAACUGCGUUUGAAACUGUUCUUCUUGAGUGAUGGAGAGGCAGGCGGAAUUCCGUGUGUAGCGGUGAAAUGCGUAGAUAUCACGAAGAACUCCGAUUGCGAAGGCAGCAUACCGGCGCUCAACUGACGCUGAGGCACGAAAGCGUGGGGAUCGAACAGGAUUAGAUACCCCUGUAGUC